AGGUUUCUGCUUCAAGACCUUUACCUCGGAAGUCGGGUUUGACUUAGCUGAGAUCACGUGUGUGGAGCAAGGAGGACACCUAGCCAGUAUACACAGCCAGGAAGAGGAGACCUUCGUCCUUGACCAGCAAAAGCGGUAUUUGAACGGUGCCUCUGUGUGGAUUGGUCUAAAACGAGCUUCUACCUCAUUCACAUGGACGGACGGUACGGAGUUCUCUUACUCUAACGUUGUGGAAGACUACACGAUUUAUCAAGGAGAGUGCCUGGCAAAGUUCCCUGACUGGCAAAACAACAAGUGGACUCCUGCAAACUGUCCAUCCUCUUUUGGAUUUUUAUGCAAAAAGCCGGCAGAGAUCACUAAGUGGGACGAAUGGGGUGCCUGGAGCUCCUGUCAUUGUACUCACCAUAUUCAGUCCCGUCGGAGACAGUGCGCUGACCACGAAGGUAACCUGUCAUCGGACUGUCCAACGGGUGGAGAGGAAG
Molecule: long non-coding RNA, 482 nt
Organism: Liolophura sinensis
Lineage: Eukaryota; Metazoa; Mollusca; Polyplacophora; Chitonida; Chitonidae
Exons: 4
Source: RefSeq, a predicted model, not a curated record